CUGUUGAUGACGUAACGGCAGGCGACCGCUCCCUUUCGGCUCAUCUGUGAAAGAAAUUGUUUGUAGUUUGCCUGUUUUCGGAUGUCACGGCCAAAAUUGAGAAAGUCCACAAGCUGCCGCCAACCCUUGAAUUAUCCGUUUUUUUCUCCACAAGUGAGGCUUUUUUUAAGGACCGCUUCACUUCCCGUUAGUAAUCAUGAUUGACUGCAGCUGUUAACAUCUCCGUGCCAGCAUGAGAACGGUUUGUGUGACGGCUCCCCUUGG
Poeciliopsis prolifica (blackstripe livebearer) is the source of this 264-nucleotide long non-coding RNA. RefSeq lists it as uncharacterized. The transcript is spliced from 3 exons. The record is from RefSeq and is a predicted model, not a curated record. Lineage: Eukaryota; Metazoa; Chordata; Actinopteri; Cyprinodontiformes; Poeciliidae.